AACGAACGCUGGCGGCAGGCCUAACACAUGCAAGUCGAGCGAGACCUUCGGGUCUAGCGGCGGACGGGUGAGUAACGCGUGGGAACGUGCCCUUUUCUACGGCAUAGCCUCGGGAAACUGAGCGUAAUACCGUAUACGCCCUUUGGGGGAAAGAUUUAUCGGAGAAGGAUCGGCCCGCGUUGGAUUAGGUAGUUGGUGGGGUAAUGGCCUACCAAGCCUACGAUCCAUAGCUGGUUUGAGAGGAUGAUCAGCCACACUGGGACUGAGACACGGCCCAGACUCCUACGGGAGGCAGCAGUGGGGAAUCUUAGACAAUGGGGGCAACCCUGAUCGAGCCAUGCCGCGUGAGUGAUGAAGGCCUUAGGGUUGUAAAGCUCUUUCAGCUGGGAAGAUAAUGACGGUACCAGCAGAAGAAGCCCCGGCUAACUCCGUG
This 433-nucleotide ribosomal RNA is filed under the name uncultured bacterium. Its description in RNAcentral is "partial 16S ribosomal RNA". It matches the Rfam family "Bacterial small subunit ribosomal RNA", at positions 29 to 507 of the family's 1533-position model. The record is from RNAcentral.